This 395-nucleotide ribosomal RNA is filed under the name Salmonella enterica. Its description in RNAcentral is "bacterial LSU rRNA". It matches the Rfam family "Bacterial large subunit ribosomal RNA", at positions 1294 to 1681 of the family's 2925-position model. The record is from RNAcentral. Lineage: Bacteria; Pseudomonadati; Pseudomonadota; Gammaproteobacteria; Enterobacterales; Enterobacteriaceae.
AUGUAGGUAUAAGUAACGAUAAAGAGUGUGAGAUGCACUCUCGCCGAAAGACUAAGGUUUCCCGGGCAACGUUAAUCGGCCCGGGGUUAGUCGGGACCUAAGGAUAAGCCGAAGGGCGAAGCCGAUGGCAGAAAUGGUUAAUAUUCCAUUACUACCUAUUAUGGCGAUUGCGGGGACGGAGAAGUGAAACUUCCGCGCGCAGACGGAAUAGCGCGUUAAAGGUUGUAGACGUAGAUCUGGGCAGGCAAAUCCACCCAGAGAGUCGAAGCUGAUAGUACACGAAGCCUUCGGGCAGAGUGAUAGUGAAGGUAAUCAGACUCCCGAGAAAAUCCGCUAAGCAUAACAUCAGAGGUACCCGUACCGCAAACGGACACACGUAGUCGGGUUGAAAAUAC